GCUGGCUCUCCUCUGGAGUGUGUGUGCACGCUUGUCUCAUCUUUAUUAUUUCUCCACUGNGCACAUUUUGUAGAUCCUGSAAAGGCCUUUUAUGAAUGWUCUCAUUCGAGUAGGGACUGCUGUCGCUUUUUCUUUGAAAGGCCGGCUUUGCCUUUUUGCCUUCMAGGCCUAUGUCAUUUUCCNNAACCUCUCAAACGAGUUUAGAAUGUCUUAUUAUGUGAAAUAUACAACUUUCAUUCAACGGAUCUCUUGGCUCUCGCAUCGAUGAAGAACGCANCGAAAUGCGAUAAGUAAUGUGAAUUGCAGAAUUCAGUGAAUCAUCGAAUCUUUGAACGCAUCUUGCGCUCCUUGGAAUUCCGAGGAGCAUGCCUGUUUGAGUGUCAUUUGACUUAUCAACCGCUUCAUGGUGAACAUGGACGUGGCUUUGNAUGUGGGGGUCUUUGCAGGCUUUUUGAAUUCUCAAAGGUCGGCUCCCCUGAACGCAUUAGNGGCAUCUGAGCUGCUACUAUAGGUGUGAUAAAUUAUCUAUGCCUUUGGUAUGCUGCAUGAACAGAUUGCGCUGCUUACAACGACGAAAAUAACUUGACAAACUUGACCUCAAAUCAGGUAGGACUACCCGCUGAACUUAAGCAUAUCAAUAAGCGGAGGAAAAGAAACUAACAAGGAUUCCCCUAGUANCUGCAAGUGAAGCGGGAAGAGCUCAAAUUUGAAAUCUGGCGG
Molecule: ribosomal RNA, 720 nt
Filed under: uncultured Inocybe
Lineage: Eukaryota; Fungi; Basidiomycota; Agaricomycetes; Agaricales; Cortinariaceae
Description: eukaryotic LSU rRNA
Rfam family: 5.8S ribosomal RNA (bases 229-383)
Source: RNAcentral